UACGUAGGCAGCAAGCGUUGUUCGGAGUUACUGGGCGUAAAGGGUGCGUAGGCGGCCCUGUAAGUAUGGUGUGAAAUCUCCCGGCUUAACUGGGAGGGUGCGCUAUAGACUGCGGGGCUCGAGUGUGGGAGAGGAGAGUGGAAUUCCCAGUGUAGAGGUGAAAUUCGUAGAUAUUGGGAAGAACACCGGUGGCGAAGGCGGCUCUCUGGACCGACACUGACGCUGAGGCGCGAAAGCGUGGGGAGCAAACAGG
This 253-nucleotide ribosomal RNA is filed under the name uncultured bacterium. RNAcentral's name for it is "partial 16S ribosomal RNA". It matches the Rfam family "Bacterial small subunit ribosomal RNA", at positions 524 to 776 of the family's 1533-position model. The record is from RNAcentral.